Molecule: ribosomal RNA, 253 nt
Filed under: uncultured bacterium
Lineage: Bacteria
Description: partial 16S ribosomal RNA
Rfam family: Bacterial small subunit ribosomal RNA
Source: RNAcentral
UACGAAGGGGGCUAGCGUUGUUCGGAAUUACUGGGCGUAAAGCGCGUGUAGGCGGGUCUUUAAGUCAGAGGUGAAAUGCCAAGGCUCAACCUUGGAACUGCCUUUGAUACUGGAGAUCUUGAGUUCGGGAGAGGUGAGUGGAAUUGCGAGUGUAGAGGUGAAAUUCGUAGAUAUUCGCAAGAACACCAGUGGCGAAGGCGGCUCACUGGCCCGGAACUGACGCUGAGACGCGAAAGCGUGGGGAGCAAACAGG